RNAcentral lists this ribosomal RNA (474 nucleotides) under uncultured organism. RNAcentral's name for it is "partial 16S ribosomal RNA". It matches the Rfam family "Bacterial small subunit ribosomal RNA", at positions 334 to 799 of the family's 1533-position model. The record is from RNAcentral.
CACUCCUACGGGAGGCAGCAGUGGGGAAUUUUGGACAAUGGGCGAAAGCCUGUUCCAGCAAUGCCGCGUGAGUGAAGAAGGCCUUCGGGUUGUAAAGCUCCUUUGUCAGGGAAGAAACGGUGAAAGCUAAUAUCUUUUGCUAAUGACGGUACCUGAAGAAUAAGCACCGGCUAACUACGUGCCAGCAGCCGCGGUAAUACGUAGGGUGCAAGCGUUAAUCGGAAUUACUGGGCGUAAAGCGUGCGCAGGCGGUUUUGUAAGUCUGAUGUGAAAUCCCCGGGCUCAACCUGGGAAUUGCAUUGGAGACUGCAAGGCUAGAAUCUGGCAGAGGGGGGUAGAAUUCCACGUGUAGCAGUGAAAUGCGUAGAUAUGUGGAGGAACACCGAUGGCGAAGGCAGCCCCCUGGGUCAAGAUUGACGCUCAUGCACGAAAGCGUGGGGAGCAAACAGGAUUAGAUACCCCGGUAGUCCCAUG